RNAcentral lists this ribosomal RNA (93 nucleotides) under uncultured bacterium. RNAcentral's name for it is "partial 16S rRNA". It matches the Rfam family "Bacterial small subunit ribosomal RNA", at positions 355 to 446 of the family's 1533-position model. The record is from RNAcentral.
UCGGGAAUAUUGCGCAAUGGAGGAAAGCUCUGANGCAGUGACGCCGCGUGCAGGAAGAAGGUUUUCGGAUUGUAAACUGCUUUAGACAGGGAA